RNAcentral lists this long non-coding RNA (368 nucleotides) under Mytilus galloprovincialis (Mediterranean mussel). Lineage: Eukaryota; Metazoa; Mollusca; Bivalvia; Mytilida; Mytilidae. The record is from RNAcentral.
CUUCAACACAGAGCCUUGUCACACACCGAACAAAACGCUAUAAAGGGCCCCCAAAAAAAUACUAGUGUAAAUCCAAACCAUUGAAACGGGCUAACCAACGGUCUAAUCUAUAUGAAAUAACAAGAAAUGAGAAAACACAAUUUCAUACAAUAAUAUAAUUGUCUGUGAACAGUCUUUAUCUAUUUUAAGGUUAAAAUAAAGCAAAAGCAAAAUUUGUAUUCAACAAUUCAUUCAGUCAAAUUAAUAUUUGAUUAGUUACUGGCAUGUCAGUUAACUGCUAGUAGUCUGUUGUUAUUUAUGUAUUAUUGUCAUUUUGUUUAUUUUCUUUGGUUACAUCUUCUGACAUCAGACUCGGAUUUCUCUUGAAC